UUACUUCUUAUAUAUUGUGGGUGGUUUGUGAAGAAUAAUUUUAGAUUAUUAUUCAUUUUUCUUAGCUUUUUAGACAAGAUAGAAUUUCUGCAACUCAAAAUACAUAAGAAAUACAUUUAAAAUUAUGGUGUCUCCAAUGAAUUUUGUACCAAUUGAACGUGAAAGGCUGUUUGAGCAUAAGGCGUUUGUUCCUUAAGAUAAGUGAUACGCCCAACCUCUACAAGGAUUCUACGCGCGCACGUAUAAGUUUUCCACUUACGUCACAUGCUGUAACGCGAAAUUAACUACUAAAUUCGUGAAUAAAUAUUCACAAUUACUUUUCCCAAAGACGUGAAUGGGCAACAUCGUCGCAAGGUUAAUAGAUAUCAUGGGUCAAUAUCGGUAAGAAGUUUGGUUUGCUUCGUAUAAAGCUAUUCGUCCCUGAAGAAGUUCGAACGAGAGAAGAAAAAUAUACUCUUACAGUUGUUAUUGUAUUAAUAGAAACGGUCGUUUCAGACGGUUUCUCUCUUCAACGCUGGUAUCUGGAAUAUUUGGAAUUCUUUUUUAAUGUUCGCGAUACAUGAAACAAGAGCUUGCUUGUGCUGAUCGACUUUACUAGCGGUUCUUUUUAACCGACUUCGAAAAAAGGAGGAAGUAACUCAAUUGGAUACGUAUUUUUUUUUUUUAUUGUGUCUGUUCCCCGAUUACGCAGAGAUGGCUUGACCAAUCGGGAUGAAACCUCUUGCAUCUUGUAGAGCAUGUCUCCCAGUUGGUCCCGUUAUCAAGACAUUUUGUGAUUUGUAAUUUUUUACCCAAUUUUUUUUGCAAAAAAAACCGAAAAAUAUUUUCACGUAUGUUCGGCCUGAGAAAUAUCGAUUGAAACAUCUGGGUUACGUAAAAUAAAAGACAGCCACCUACUGAUUCACGAAGGAGCACGCGGUUGAACAGUUAGCUGAACGCGAACGACAUAAAUAGUAGUCCACGCGGUGAAACUCGGGGUACAGCUUCUCUGAAACAACUAAACCGAUUUUGACAAGACUUUCAUUGUUAAUAACUGAUGAUUUUAUGAUGUUCCCAUUUGGAAAAAUUUAUGAAUUUCUUAAUGUUUAAUAAUAAUGUUUAAUAACAAUUUCUACUGCAAAAUUCCUAUUCUUUGGUGUAACUCGGCAAGAAAUAACCGAUCGAGAUGGAACCUUGCACAUUUAAGGAAAGCUGAUUUCAUGAUGUUCGAAUUUGCAAAAAAUUAAUGACUUUUAAACAUUUAUAACUACUGUUAUUGCAAAAUUCCUAUUCUUUGAUGUAACUGGUCAAGGAAUUAACCGAUCAAGAUGGAAUCUUUCUUUUCAAUGGCUGAUAAUUCCAUGAUGUUCGAAUUUGCAAAAACGUAUGGACAUUUUAUUAAAUGUUUAUAACUAUUGUUAUUACAAAAUUCCUAUUCUUUUAUGUAUCUCGACAAGGAAUUUACCGAUCGCGAUGAAUUCUUUCACAUUAGUAACAGAUGUUUUCGUGAUGUUCCCGUUUGCAAAAGUUUAUGGACACUUUUAUUGUUUAAUACCAUUGUUGCUUCAAAAUUUAUAUUCUCUGGUGUAGCUCAGCAAGGAAUUUACCUAUCGCAAUGAAUCCUUUCGCAUUGAGUUGCACGCGUAUUCCUAAUGAUCCCAUUUCCAACAAUAUACAUAUUGUCCAUAACUAUUGUUAUUGCAUGAAGCAUAUUGGUUACAGAUUGGCCCUAAAAUGGUGAAGUAAAUAAAUUUUUGGUGAAGUAAUUUAAUUUAAAUAUAUAACCUACUCCGAAAAACAUUAAAAUUACACUAAAAAGUAUGAAAUAAUUUCUAUUUGAAUGCAAAACUCUUUUCAAUGCAACCUUUUCAGAGGCGGCGCAACAUUCAAAAUUUUUAAUUCCGGUUUGAAUUAGUUUUUGGUGAUGGUGGCAAUAUUGAAUGCUGUUAACGUACACAUGAAUACCGUCUACGUGGAAGUACUGUCUGAGACGGUUUGAUGUAUUUGUUUUGGCGAAGGACGGGGCCAAUAUUGCAUACAGUUAAUGUAUAUACGAUUGAAUAGUGUUAAUGUAUAUGAUGUCUAAAGCAGAUAUAAUAAUAGCAAUAAUUAAAGACUCAAUUUUUGGUUCCUCUGACCGAAAGUUAAACCAAGAUUGGUAAUUUUGAAUGUAGGUAAUUUUUAAUUUUGCGCUGCCUCCGAAAAGGCUGCAUUGUAUUUAAUAUACUGUAUUUAAUAAUUUAAUCAAAUUCAUCAAGAGCUGGUGAGUAGUAAUACGGUUCAAAUAGAAAUUACUUCAUACUUUUAAGUGCAGUUUUAAUGUUUUUCGAAGUCGGUUAUAUUUUUUUCCAAAAAUUAAUUUCUAGGUAGAUGCUAAUGGAAAUUUCUUUUAACGUAUAUUAUUUGAAUGUAAAUUUUAAUGCAUAUUGUUUUAAUACAAAUCUUGAUGUACAUUAUAUUAACGCAUAUUUUAAUAUAUAUUGUUUUAAUGUCACUGUUUAGAAUUACUUAUUUUAAAACUAGUCUAGUUGAUGUUACGUCAAGAGCGUACAUUAUUGAUAACAAUUUAUGCGAUAACUUGAACUUUUUCUGGAACACUGGAAAUUUAUUCAUUUAUUGAAACAUGCUAAUGUAGAUUAAAUUUAACGUAUACUAUUUUAAUACAAAUUUUAAUGUAUAUUUUUUUAAUGUUACUGUUUAGUGUCGGGGUUACACCGAGUGUACAUUGUUGACAGUAAUUAUUACUACUAUUACACAUUGUUUGUUUGUCUACAUUUGACAAUCUAAAUAAUGAAGUAUUCCCUAGUCCUUAACAAUCAAAUAUUCCUCAUGAAUUUUAUACACUAAUACCUAUUAUUCCAUUCGUAAUAAAAUAAUAUUAUUAAUAAUGACACGUCAAGAAUGAAUACUGCUGGUUAUUCCUGGUAAUUCCCCAGAGAACAGCGCAACGUGUUGCGCACACCAGUUACGUGCAAUUAAAAAUUCACGACGUAAGCGGACGAUUGAUAACGCAACCGCCACAAGGACGAAGUUCUAUGACUUGCAGAACUCUAGGAAAUACGCAGCCAACAAUCUACAUACGUCCGUAGUCGCGAAUCGGUCGCCGAUAACGCAGUUAGUAUACACCGAGCAACGUAAAACCCCUUUCGACUCGCGGUGCGCGAAUCGGUAAACAAGUCGAACCGUUUACGUUCAACGACACGACGAAAGCAGCAGACUGGCAAAACACACAACGUCGCUGGAAAAUCCUGUCUAUCGAUUGCGAAUCGACCGUUGAUAAUACACGUGGCGUGGUUCGCGCACGAGAGGUCGAGGGUAGCCGUUUCCCAUCAAAGUCCCAGCGAAGUCGAGCACGGAGUAUCACCACACUUUAUAGUAAGAGUUAAAUCGAAAAAUGAGGGUAUGAGGAUUUGCACUCGGGACCCAUAGAUUAUGAGUCGAGUACUUUCUUUACUGAACCAUCGGCUCACACUAUCAGUCGUGUUUUUAUUUGACUCAUUAUACUAUAGAGGACGUUGGUUAUUUCUUUACAUGGAUAAAGCGUAAGUGUUCUGUACCUUCCCUUCCCUUCCCUUCUCUAAUAAGGAAUAUUUGAUUGAUACAAGGACUAUAGAAUAUUUCAUUAUUUAGUUGUUUAAGUAUAGAAAAAUAAACAGCGUGUAUAAUAACAGGCAAUGUAUGAAUAAAUUUUCAGAGCCCUAGACAAAAUUUACGUUAUUCCAUAAGUUAUUAUCAAUAAUGUGCACUCUUGGUGUAACAUCCACACUUGAAAUACUAAUUUCAAAAUAAAUUCAGAAUAGGUCAAAACGACCAUGCUCUGUAAACUUAUUGCGAGACGAAUUCCUCGAUUAGCGAAGCUACUCGAGUCUAGUAUCGUUUUGUCUGAAACGCCUAGUUUCCAUUGAAUUAUUAACUCGUUGCCUUAUAACGCUGCGUUAUUUUAGUGACUCGGAUUACGAUCCAAGUGUGACGAACACGAGUCGUAUUCGCAACUCAUAGCAAUGUACCAAUUUUGCUGUCGUCGACAUUCAACGUUUGCAACGGUUGAACGUACACAACGAGUAUAUACAUUAAUGGAUUUCGUCAUAAUCUUCUGCUCUACGACUUACGGAAUAUUAAAUAAUUCUAGGAAUAAUAAUCAGAGGAUAGGGCAUUUUUCCACAAACGAGAUAAGGUGACAGAAUUAAGGCAAUCAACUCUUAAGAAGAUACAGUGGGUGUAGAAAGUAUUCGUACACCGAUCAAUUUCCAAAGAAACUGUGUAAAAUUGUAAUUUAUUAACUUAUAUUUUAUAAACAAUGCCAUUCUACAUGUUCUAGGAAAUCUCUAGAAUAGAUAGAUUACAACAAAAAUAGCUAUUUAUGUAAGUUGCGAAAUUAACAAGAAAAAAAACAAUUAAGCGAUAGAAAUAUUGAAGCAAUAAGUAUUCGCACAACUGUUUAAAAGUACUUUACUGGAAAUUUGAUGUUUUCUAAUUCUUACGGAGCAAUAAACAAAUGUGUUUACGUUACAAACUCUGCUGUAAAUGGUUCGUCAUAAGAAUCGUACAAAUACUUAUUGCUUCUAUACUUUUACCCACUUUUCGCAAUUUUUUAUUAAUUUCACAAAUUAUAUUAACUAGUAAAUGUUGUUUGGACUAUAUCUAUCUUAGAGACUUCCGAGAAUAUGUAAAAUAUCAUUGAUUAUAAAAAAAGAAGUUAAGAAACUACAAUUUCACACAAAACUAUGUUGGUAAAUUGAUCGGUGUACGAAUACAUUCUACACCCACUGUAUAUGUAUAGUAGAACAAGUACCUUUUGAAACCGAAUUGGUGGCAAUCGAUAGUUUCGAUAACUGCGAUUCUCAAUUUAGUGGAAUAAUACUCUUGUUGCGUAAUCGCUAGGGCUUAGCCAAUUUGACCCCUAAUCGAGAAAACAGAUUAAGUACGUCGUAUUUUAUCUAACCGAAUAUGCGAUUAGGUUUGCUAUAAAAUUUUGAUCAGAACGAUUCGCGAUUAUAAUUUCUAUAUAUUUGUAUUCUACUAUCUUUUUAUUAUUUAUAAAUCAAUCUCUUUAUCUAUAAAAAUGCAUUUGUCUAAUAACAAUAUACAGACUAAACGAAAAACUGGGGGCGCCAGGAUUCGAACUUGAGUUCUCCAGAUUCAUAGUCAACGCUUUUCCCCACGGGACCAUUCCGCAUCCUACUAGUCGUUGUUCUUACUGAACUUCUUAUUACUGACAAUGAGUAUGAGGGGGGGGGGGGGGGCCACGAUACUACAUCAUCUAAUUGAAUAAAUAACUGAAUUUAGAUGAUUACUUGAAUUUUAUAAAAAAAAUUAUUCUGAUGACUUAUUACAAGGCUAAGGAUUUUAAAGAUGAGAGUUCAACACAAUUCACGAAUGAUUCAACACACGAAUCGUCUCGUGGCGAGCACAUCGAAGACUAUACUUCGUUAUUAACGCGUUUUAUCGAUUCCACGUGGACGUACCGCGGGUUUCUACGUUGCUUCAGGUGAGAUGCAGCGCAUAUCUUCCGACUGGUUGUCCAUGUAUGCCACGGUGCUACGAUUCAAGGCCGUUAUUGACAAUCUAUGACCUACUAUUAUUUUCAAACGUGAUGGAGACAUUUACGCGAAAAAAGAAAAACGAACGCAAGUUCACCGUUAAAGGAUUUUCCAAGAGGAGCUUCAGGAUUUUGUUUUUUUAGCAACACCUGGAAGCAUAGUCGACAUAUUAAUGUAAAUUAAAUAAAUAUAAAUAUGCUACAUAAAUAUAAUAUAUAAAUUAGAUAUAUUUUAUACCAUUCGUGUUUUAUCAAAAAAUAAAAUCAUGAAGCUUCUUUAUAAUUAUAUUUCCCCUCUUGAGAAAUCCUUUAUAAUUCUUCGAUCACGAUUUUCAAAAUAUCAUUUUGCAAGCAAUGACUGGGAUCAAACGUUUCUCCGAGGAACUUGAUCGAACAACGUGUACCAUAGUGCGAUUAUAAGGCUUAUCUCGCUUUUAUCGAACAAGGAGCUUAAGGUUUCGUUACUGUCGUUUUAUGUGAUCGACGGUAUUUUAUUUAUUUAUACUCAUUCGUAUUUAUAUUUAAACUGUAUUACUCUUAAACGUGAUAAUGUUUAGUUUAUCUCCUGAAAGCAACCAGCGAACGAUCAACAAAUUCCAAAAAAUAAAUAAAAUUAUGCUCCGAUUACCAAUGUCAUUCUACAUUACCAAGAAAUCUAUAUUGAUUCAAUGUUAUUUCCGUAGCUAGUGUUAACCAACAGGCUACCUUUGAAAUAACAUUGUUUGAAAUAUGAAAUAAAUUUGCAAGGUCAGAUAUUUCUGUAACAAUAUACGUUCCUCAAAUUUCCAAUACUUUUGGGUUCAUUUAAUGAUACCAAAGCCCAAAAAGUGUAUUUCCAGAAUUUUUGUUUGUUCACCCAGUACUUAAUACUUUGUAUGCGAUAAACAAAAAUAAAACCGAAACAAAAAAUAUUAAUUUAUUCACACGCUCCAAUUAGCACUACAUAAACAAAGAUGUACCGUAUACUUUCUAAUGUAGUAGGGUAUACUCAAUUUUAACAAAUUGUAUCCGAUAUUAGUCUGUAAAUAACGUAUGAACCUAUUUCACGGUUAUUUAAUUUUUUAUCUACAAUUACGCAAUCAUAUUUGAUAAAAUACCAACAGAAAUAACAAUUUUGUGUAAUCAAAAUAGUCUGAAAAUACUCUGGGAAAGUGUCUAACGUACGCCACCAAAAAUAUUGAGUUGAUUCAUAAAUAACUUUCAUUGCAUUUACAAUUUUUAAUUUACCUGCUAAAUAAGAGCAAGUGACCAAUGAUGGUGAUUACAUAAUUGAUUAAGCUUCGUUACGUAGUAAUGUAUUUAGAUAUAAAUUUUAAGUUAUAAAACGGAAGUUAUUUGUGAAUCAAGCCAAUAUUUCCAAAUUUUUCAAUAAAAGAAAUUAAAAAUGUAGUUAUAACCGAGUUCGAUGGUACUAUAUGUGCAUAGAAGGUGCUUCUUUCUGAUGCUCCAAGACCUCCCUUCUAACGUCAUAAUUGUAUUAUAACAGAAAUAUUCACGGUUCCGACUGAUGUAAUAAAAUUCUAUAGAACAUCGAGGAGGAUGAUUCAAAGUAUUUCGCUGAUGCGGGCCAUUAAGGAAACUUCGAACACGUGUACCAGACGACUGGCAUUGGAAUCGAGAGUGGUAGGGAUAAACAACAUGCGUCGUGUAUAAACCAAUGCUAGCGCGUAGUUCGAUAAAGUCACUUUUACUGCGCUACUCGACUCCGUCAGGCGGAUAGAUCCAUGAUAUAUGUAUAUGUAUGUAUAGGAAACUCGACUAACCGAAGUCGGCUACAAACGACUACUUCGUAGCUCGUGUGGCUUCUUCGCGCACCGAGAAGAGGUACAAACGCGUAAUUCCUGCGUUAGGCAAGUCUCGUAACGUUACAUUUGUUGUACAGAUAGCAGCAUAACGUAUCGCGUAACGUUUAAUUAAAUAUGUACACACAACGGAAACGGUGUUCUGCUUCUGAUACGUUACAAUGGUAAAUAAGCAUUCCAUCAGUAUCUUAAUAGAUUCAGUAUCCCCCGAAUCCAAAAAUAUCCAGUCAACUUUUACACACUGACUACGUUAAAAACAAUGGGCCAAAUAAGCCAAUGGAUGCAUUAAAUAUACUGCACGUACAAGCCAAGGACACAGAAAAGUGACAACGAUGCUGUGUUUACUUACCGUUGAGACCAUACUUCUCCUGGUUCCUCUUGACCUGAUCAACGGACAAUCCUUU
This is a long non-coding RNA of Hylaeus volcanicus, 7724 nucleotides long. RefSeq lists it as uncharacterized. Lineage: Eukaryota; Metazoa; Arthropoda; Insecta; Hymenoptera; Colletidae. The record is from RefSeq and is a predicted model, not a curated record. The transcript has 3 exons.